Molecule: ribosomal RNA, 121 nt
Filed under: Diaphorina citri (Asian citrus psyllid)
Lineage: Eukaryota; Metazoa; Arthropoda; Insecta; Hemiptera; Psyllidae
Source: RNAcentral
UUUAGCAGCUGGGAUAGCACGUUGAAUGCACCAUUUCCUCACGGAUUACUGAAGUUAAGCAAUGUUCCGCUUGGUUAAUACCUGGAUAGGUGACCAUCUGGGGAAUCGCGUGCUGCUGGGU